UUAUUUGAGAGUUUGAUCCUGGCUCAGGACGAACGCUGGCGGCGUGCCUAAUACAUGCAAGUUGAGCGCUGAAGGUUGGUACUUGUACCGACUGGAUGAGCAGCGAACGGGUGAGUAACGCGUGGGGAAUCUGCCUUUGAGCGGGGGACAACAUUUGGAAACGAAUGCUAAUACCGCAUAAAAACUUUAAACACAAGUUUUAAGUUUGAAAGAUGCAAUUGCAUCACUCAAAGAUGAUCCCGCGUUGUAUUAGCUAGUUGGUGAGGUAAAGGCUCACCAAGGCGAUGAUACAUAGCCGACCUGAGAGGGUGAUCGGCCACAUUGGGACUGAGACACGGCCCAAACUCCUACGGGAGGCAGCAGUAGGGAAUCUUCGGCAAUGGACGAAAGUCUGACCGAGCAACGCCGCGUGAGUGAAGAAGGUUUUCGGAUCGUAAAACUCUGUUGGUAGAGAAGAACGUUGGUGAGAGUGGAAAGCUCAUCAAGUGACGGUAACUACCCAGAAAGGGACGGCUAACUACGUGCCAGCAGCCGCGGUAAUACGUAGGUCCCGAGCGUUGUCCGGAUUUAUUGGGCGUAAAGCGAGCGCAGGUGGUUUAUUAAGUCUGGUGUAAAAGGCAGUGGCUCAACCAUUGUAUGCAUUGGAAACUGGUAGACUUGAGUGCAGGAGAGGAGAGUGGAAUUCCAUGUGUAGCGGUGAAAUGCGUAGAUAUAUGGAGGAACACCGGUGGCGAAAGCGGCUCUCUGGCCUGUAACUGACACUGAGGCUCGAAAGCGUGGGGAGCAGAACAGGAUUAGAUACCCUGGUAGUCCACGCCGUAAACGAUGAGUGCUAGAUGUAGGGAGCUAUAAGUUCUCUGUAUCGCAGCUAACGCAAUAAGCACUCCGCCUGGGGAGUACGACCGCAAGGUUGAAACUCAAAGGAAUUGACGGGGGCCCGCACAAGCGGUGGAGCAUGUGGUUUAAUUCGAAGCAACGCGAAGAACCUUACCAGGUCUUGACAUACUCGUGCUAUUCCUAGAGAUAGGAAGUUCCUUCGGGACACGGGAUACAGGUGGUGCAUGGUUGUCGUCAGCUCGUGUCGUGAGAUGUUGGGUUAAGUCCCGCAACGAGCGCAACCCCUAUUGUUAGUUGCCAUCAUUAAGUUGGGCACUCUAACGAGACUGCCGGUGAUAAACCGGAGGAAGGUGGGGAUGACGUCAAAUCAUCAUGCCCCUUAUGACCUGGGCUACACACGUGCUACAAUGGAUGGUACAACGAGUCGCGAGACAGUGAUGUUUAGCUAAUCUCUUAAAACCAUUCUCAGUUCGGAUUGUAGGCUGCAACUCGCCUACAUGAAGUCGGAAUCGCUAGUAAUCGCGGAUCAGCACGCCGCGGUGAAUACGUUCCCGGGCCUUGUACACACCGCCCGUCACACCACGGGAGUUGGGAGUACCCGAAGUAGGUUGCCUAACCGCAAGGAGGGCGCUUCCUAAGGUAAGACCGAUGACUGGGGUGAAGUGGUAACAAGGUAGCCGUAUCGGAAGGUGCGGCUGGAUCACCUCCUUU
This 1548-nucleotide ribosomal RNA is filed under the name Lactococcus lactis. Its description in RNAcentral is "bacterial SSU rRNA". It matches the Rfam family "Bacterial small subunit ribosomal RNA". The record is from RNAcentral. Lineage: Bacteria; Bacillati; Bacillota; Bacilli; Lactobacillales; Streptococcaceae.